UACGUAGGGGGCAAGCGUUGUCCGGAUUUACUGGGCGUAAAGAGCGUGUAGGCGGCCAAACAGGUCCGUUGUGAAAACUGGAGGCUUAACCUCCAGACGUCGACGGAAACCGUAUGGCUAGAGUCCGGAAGAGGAGAGUGGAAUUCCUGGUGUAGCGGUGAAAUGCGCAGAUAUCAGGAAGAACACCUAUGGCGAAGGCAGCUCUCUGGGACGGUACUGACGCUGAGACGCGAAAGCGUGGGGAGCGAACAGG
Molecule: ribosomal RNA, 253 nt
Filed under: uncultured bacterium
Lineage: Bacteria
Description: partial 16S ribosomal RNA
Rfam family: Bacterial small subunit ribosomal RNA
Source: RNAcentral